RNAcentral lists this ribosomal RNA (1243 nucleotides) under metagenome. RNAcentral describes it as "bacterial LSU rRNA". It matches the Rfam family "Bacterial large subunit ribosomal RNA", at positions 1564 to 2816 of the family's 2925-position model. The record is from RNAcentral.
UGAAUACGAGACGCUAAGGCGUCGAAGUAGUGUAUGUCAUACUUCCAAGAAAAGCUUGCACUGUCAUAGAUAAAAAACGCCUGUACCAUAACCGACACAGGUGGGUAGGUAGAGUAUACUAAGGGGCGCGAGAUAACUCUCUCUAAGGAACUCGGCAAAAUAACUCCGUAACUUCGGGAGAAGGAGUGCCUUAUUCGUAAGGUUGCAAUAACAAGAUCCAAGCAACUGUUUAUCAAAAACACAGGUCUCCGCUAAGUCGUAAGACGAUGUAUGGGGGCUGACGCCUGCCCAGUGCCAGAAGGUUAAAGAAGUUGGUUAGCAAUUGCGAAGCUGAUAACUGAAGCCCUGGUGAACGGCGGCCGUAACUAUAACGGUCCUAAGGUAGCGAAAUUCCUUGUCGGGUAAGUUCCGACCCGCACGAAAGGCGUAAUGAUUUGGAUACUGUCUCGGAGAGGGGCUCGGUGAAAUAGACUUGUCUGUGAAGAUGCGGACUACCUGCACCAGGACAGAAAGACCCUAUGAAGCUUUACUGUAACUUGAAAUUGAAAUUGGACUUUAUUCGCGCAGUAUAGGUGGGAGGCGUUGAUUAUAAUCUUGUGGGAUUAUUGGAGCCAUCAGUGAGAUACCACUCUUGUAAUGUUAGAUUUCUAACUUUGAAUCAUUAUCUGGUCAAAGAACAGUUUCAGGCGGGCAGUUUGACUGGGGCGGUCGCCUCCUAAACGGUAACGGAGGCGUACAAAGGUUUCCUCUGAACGGUUAGAAAUCGUAUCUAGAGUGUAAAGGCAUAAGGAAGCUUGACUGUGAGACCUACAAGUCGAGCAGGGACGAAAGUCGGUCUUAGUGAUCUGACGGUACUGAGUGGAAAGGCCGUCACUCAACGGAUAAAAGUUACUCUAAGGAUAACAGGCUGAUCUCCCCCAAGAGUUCACAUCGACGGGGAGGUUUGGCACCUCGAUGUCGGCUCAUCGCAUCCUGGGGCGGUAGUACGUCCCAAGGGUUGGGCUGUUCGCCCAUGAAAGCGGUACGCGAGCUGGGUUCAGAACGUCGUGAGACAGUUCGGUCCAUAUCCGGUGUAGGCGUUAGAAUAUUGAGAGGAGCCUUCUUUAGUACGAGAGGACCGAGAAGGACAUACCUCUGGUAUACCAGUUAUCGUGCCAACGGUAAACGCUGGGUAGCUAUGUAUGGAGUGGAUAACCGCUGAAAGCAUCUAAGUGGGAAGCCCACCUCAAGAUAAGUAUUCUCA